UUGGUUAUUAUCCGGGGACCAUUUGAUUAUAUUUUGGGAUCGAUCGGGUCAAAUGUCAAGGUCAAGGUCAUGAAAAGGUCAACAUCUUCUUGAUUCGCAUGCAAUUUGGUGGGAUGAUUGGUUAUUAUCCGGGGACCAUUUGAUUAGAUUUUGGGAUCAAUCGGGUCAAAGGUCAAGGUCAUGAAAAGGUCAAAAUCUUCUUUUUACCAUAGCGCGGUCCAUUUAUAUCCAAUUGGCAUGCAACUAAUGCCAACAUGUUCAUAAUUCAAUGCCCAAUCUUGUGAUAUGCGAAGGUAUGCACUCUACCGAGUGCCCAUUCUAUUUGUUAAUGUGUUAUGAAGCAUAGGGGUACUGUUUACUCUAUGCAAACGUACAUGGCAAGAAUUAAUGUAUACGUUGCAUGAGAAUGAAUGUUAGUUUAGUAUUUCAGAAUGUCGAAGCCGGUUGAAGCCCGUGAAGUGACUUUAAUGCAGGCAAUGGACAUUCAGAGAGAGGAGGAUUUUCCAUCUUGGCCGUUAAAAAAAAAAAAAAGGUUUCCAGUCUUCAGAUGUCCGGCUGCUUUAACAAGAGCAGAAGGCAGCAGCAGCGCUUCAGUGAAGACGCUGGAAUCAGCAACGUCUCCUUCCAUCGCUGGGAAAUUAAGAAACGCCGCACAUUAGUGCCAGUUCUGUUGGACUCCACUCUGGAUGUGGACUUCCUUCAUGGCGCAGUUCAAUCAGGUAUUGAGUAAACAGGUCCGGGUACGGCAGCCUGACGCCGCCGCCUGUCUUUGACAUCCCCACCCCCGCCCUGGAAUUCCUCCCGCAUGGCUCACUCUCCUCCGCUUUUGGGCCGAGCCGGAUCCCCUCGGGGCCCAUCUUCAGGAGGAAUUUAUUUUUCAUUGCCCCUAAAACCCAACUACUCUUGCCAGUUUGGCGGCGUACCCCCGGUGCUCGUCUCCAGGUCAGUACGGAGGAGCUUCUUCCCGCCCGUGAGGGGGCAGCUGUGAGGUCAGGGGGCUUCGGUCCUCCCUCCGCCCGAGGCCACGUUGUAUAUUAUCUUACGAGUACUAUACCCUCGCUUCUCCAAAACAGUAGGAGCGUCUAAUUCAUCUUCAUUGGGCAGGAAUUCUUGUCAAGUACGAUUUCACUACAUUUCAAGCGGGAGACUUUGUGGUUUUAUUGUCAAACGAGGGUAUCAUGUUGUGUUAUUAAACUGUGUGUUUCCAGCGGUUAGCUUCUGGGACUGGGGGAACCCUCACCGCAAAUAUUUCACUUUCAAAACCUCUCUCUAGUGACUGAAAAUAAAUUUUCUGUUGUUGCGGUUUUCAUUAUGAGCGACACAGACGUUGACGAAAGUUUGACCUUUUUUUUUGACAUGGCUGAUUCAAAUUUGUAUUGAUGUUAAUCCAAUAAUUGGGAGGUUUGGGUAUCCGCUCUAAUUCACUGUGUGACGAGUCGUGACUUUUGCUUCGAGAAUAAAACGACUUGGCUCCGGUGGUUCAGGUGACUCCA
Long non-coding RNA from Pseudoliparis swirei, 1493 nucleotides. RefSeq lists it as uncharacterized. Lineage: Eukaryota; Metazoa; Chordata; Actinopteri; Perciformes; Liparidae. The record is from RefSeq and is a predicted model, not a curated record. The transcript is spliced from 2 exons.